RNAcentral lists this long non-coding RNA (252 nucleotides) under Ananas comosus (pineapple). RNAcentral's name for it is "long non-coding RNA (ACOM_LNC007441)". Lineage: Eukaryota; Viridiplantae; Streptophyta; Magnoliopsida; Poales; Bromeliaceae. The record is from RNAcentral.
UAACUGUAAGCAAAAAGAUUCAUUCUUCAUCACUAUUAUGUACUAUCGUGAUAUACUGCUAGGUGUCAUUCACGGACGGUGAGAAAAUAAGAAUAAUUCAAAUUGAAUUGUUCUUAUUUAUCGAUUAGAAGAGUUCUAAUUAAAUAUCAAAGAGUUUGAUGUUGAGCUCCACUGCCGAAUGGUAAUGAACCUAUGCGGUCACACACAUUAGGAAUUGUGUGCGCCCAAAUCGUUUGAAUGAGAGUCAUUCAC